AACGAACGCUGGCGGCAGGCUUAACACAUGCAAGUCGAACGCCCCGCAAGGGGAGUGGCAGACGGGUGAGUAACGCGUGGGAAUCUACCCAUCUCUGCGGAAUAGCUCCGGGAAACUGGAAUUAAUACCGCAUACGCCCUACGGGGGAAAGAUUUAUCGGGGAUGGGUGAGCCCGCGUUGGAUUAGCUAGUUGGUGGGGUAAAGGCCUACCAAGGCGACGAUCCAUAGCUGGUCUGAGAGGAUGAUCAGCCACAUUGGGACUGAGACACGGCCCAAACUCCUACGGGAGGCAGCAGUGGGGAAUAUUGGACAAUGGGCGCAAGCCUGAUCCAGCCAUGCCGCGUGAGUGAUGAAGGCCUUAGGGUUGUAAAGCUCUUUCACCGGUGAAGAUAAUGACGGUAACCGGAGAGGAAGCCCCGGCUAACUUCGUGCCAGCCGCCGCAGUAA
This 447-nucleotide ribosomal RNA is filed under the name uncultured bacterium. Its description in RNAcentral is "partial 16S ribosomal RNA". It matches the Rfam family "Bacterial small subunit ribosomal RNA", at positions 29 to 523 of the family's 1533-position model. The record is from RNAcentral.